CCGAAGUGUUUUGAAUUUCUCUUGUGCAGAUCUCCGUGGGAACUAACUCUCAGUGGGUCCUCCAUAACUGCUAACUUAUGACCAUAAAGUUGAACAUUAAUGAGUUCUCUGUAGAUCUUCUCCCCCCAAAGCCCUCCCCCAUAAAAAAUUCUUUUUGGUAUGGUAAUUUUGUUGACUUCUCCCGAGAGCCGAUCCUUACCGACAUUCAUCAUCAGAGGGCGCACUUUCACAGAAAAUACACCAGGUUCCUCCGGCUGAUCGCUUCCUCGCCCGUUUGCACGAUGGAAGAAACAGGUUUUAUUCGGAGCGGAGAAACAGUGUGCAUGCUCAUUAAAUAUUUGUUCAUUUAUCAGGAGGAAAAGCAGUCUUGCCCAGCUACCUCGUGGAAGGAAAGGGCGACCUUGACAGUUGCUAGGUGGAGGCCUCGAUGCUGAUUGAAGCAAGGUGCAGAGGAUACAGCGGUACACACCAAGAUUUUGGAGCUGGUCAAGCCACAAGAUGGAAGGAGCCUGAGUACCUGAAGACCAUGUGGAAGGCAACCUUAAACCCAGGAACCUACUCUUUGGACUUACACAUGAACAAGAAAUCAACUUACGAAGCCAUCCAGAUUUUGGG
RNAcentral lists this long non-coding RNA (615 nucleotides) under Equus caballus (horse). RNAcentral describes it as "lncRNA (ENSECAG00000055416.1)". Lineage: Eukaryota; Metazoa; Chordata; Mammalia; Perissodactyla; Equidae. The record is from RNAcentral.